CAACAGUGUGUGGAUCCAUUUGCAGCUUUAUUAAACACAGCAGUAGUACAGACAAGGGCAGAGCAGUACCGUAAACAGGGACAGGCAAGGAUCGAGGCGGGCAGCAGAGAAUCAGAGUCAGGUCACAGGCAAGGAUCGAGACAGGCGGCAAACAAACACAGUCCAGGGUACAGGCAAGGUUCCGGGCAGGCGGCAAUGGGUUCACGAGAGAUAAACAGUCCAGGUAACAACAAGAUAACAGUCCACAGAAUAACGCUCAGAAAUGAUCACCAUAGCAAAUCAAGACUUCGCGAAGAUGUGGUGUGUAUGCGUGUCUUAAAUAGUGUGCGUGUGAUGCAGUUCAGGUGUGUGUGCAAUCAGUCCCAGGAAUGAGGGCCUAUGGGAAAUAAGGUCCGAAUGGUGGAAAAUCAGUAUUCCGGUGAUGGCUCCCUCCGGCGGUCCAGAGGAUGAACCGUGGGAGCCAUAUUCAUGACAAUCUGCUUACCCCCAGGGAAUCCAAGAGAUUGUGUUCCCAUUGACAUGCAUUAUACAACUGACAGACGGCAACGGUUGGAGUUAAAAAUCAUCAUUUGUGUUCUACUGAAGAAACAAAGUCAUCUACAUCUUGGAUGCCCUGGGGAUGGGUCCUUCAGAUGAGACGUUAAACCGAGGUCCUGACUCUCUGUGGUCGUUAAAAACCCCAACAUCCUGGCCACAUUUGCCCAUUGGCCUCUGUCCAUCAUGGCCUCCUAAUCAUCACCAUACACUGAUUGGCUUCAUCACUCUGUCUCCUCUCCACCAAUAAGCUGGUGUGUGGUGGGCGUUCUGAGCGCUUAUUCCUGUUUAUGAUAUUCUUGUGUAUGACCCUGGACUGUUUACCUUGUGAUGAUACUUUGCUGCCUGCUUUGAUUACUGUGCUCUGUCUGCCUGGAUUACGUUUAUACUGUUUGCUGCCUGUCCUGAUCCACUGCCUCGUUAAUGAUUACGUCUCUGCUUUGCCCUUUUUGUACCUGACGCUGGUGAUUGACCCCUGCUUGUUUGUUCUACAUCUGUCAAUAAAGCUGCACAUGGAUCCUAA
Ctenopharyngodon idella (grass carp) is the source of this 1057-nucleotide long non-coding RNA. RefSeq lists it as uncharacterized. NCBI's taxonomy places the organism in Eukaryota, Metazoa, Chordata, Actinopteri, Cypriniformes, Xenocyprididae. The record is from RefSeq and is a predicted model, not a curated record. The transcript is spliced from 3 exons.